This 1102-nucleotide ribosomal RNA is filed under the name Paracaprella pusilla. RNAcentral describes it as "partial large subunit ribosomal RNA". It matches the Rfam family "Eukaryotic large subunit ribosomal RNA", at positions 87 to 900 of the family's 3401-position model. The record is from RNAcentral. Lineage: Eukaryota; Metazoa; Arthropoda; Malacostraca; Amphipoda; Caprellidae.
UGGCGAACGAAAAGGAAUGAGCCCAGCGCAGAACGUUCCGGGGCACUCGCCCUGAGAAUGAAUGUUGCGUUAAGGAUAUUGGCAUACACCCAUGGCAGUUACACUUUGCUAAGUCAGCCUCGAAUGGUUCUCGUGAAGCCGGUAACACGGUGAGACUCCAGGGAGGGUGUUAGACCCGUGUGAAGGUGCAAUCUGCUUGGGCAAGCCGAUAUCCCGAGAGUCGCGUUGUUUGAACAUGCAGCGCUAAGCAGGUCGUAGACUCGAUCUAAGGCUAAAUAUGUCCACAGAACCGAUAGUUAACAAGUACCGUGAGGGAAAGUUGAAAAGCACUCCGUAACGGAGAGUCAAAAGACCGUGAAACCACUCAGAGUAUAAGCCAAUGGUGUCUGGAAGGUCCUGUGCUUACAUCUUGGUGUCAAGGACUCAUGCGAACCUCAGCACUUGCGGGAGCAAUCUCCGUUGCUUUGGUAAGCUUGUCCGCUGAAGCACUCCGUUGACCCACCUGGCUCGUUGUGAGGUGUCCUGAGAGCAAAGCGAAGUGUUAAGAUUGGCUUGGAGUUGGGCGUGGGCGUCUCGAUGCCUUUCGCACUCUCCUUUUCGAGCACUUCUUCAGUUCUAUUCGCACAAAGUGUGGUAGUCUUGGAGUGUGCGCUGCUUGACGCUCUCUGGAACCAUCCUCUGCGACGAAGCUUCAAUGCCUUAGUGAGCGGCCGUCUUCCUCCUCGGGAGUCGGUACAUUGGCGCGGCUUGCACACUGUCGGUGCUCCGCUGUUCAACUCUGGCGCAAGGUGUUACGUCCGAUACCAUUGGUCACGUCUCGAAACACGGGCCAAGGAGUAUAGCGUGUGUGCAAGUCUAAGGGUUCCACAAAACCUGGAGGCGUAGUGAAAGCGAGUUAUGGUGUCUCACUGGACUGAUGGAGAAGGCAGUGAUGCGUGAUCCCGCAAGUCCCGGACUCGUCGUCUGCACUGCUUCGGUUGUGUUAGCGCGAGCACCGCAGAGCACAUACGCUAUGACCCGAAAGAUAGUGAACUAUGCUUGGCGAGGGUGAAGCCCCAGGAAACUGGGGUGGAGGCCCGUAGCCGUUGUGACGUGCAAAUCC